AAAUAUAAUAGAAAGAAAGGGAAAGAAGAGCCCUAGCACAGCCGGCCCAAGUUUGCAAUUCAAAUUCUCCUCUUGUCAAAUCUCACUUCGGCGGGCUGCUAACCAUAUUUGUAUCAAACUUGUAUAAACAUAAAUAUAAAAGAAAGAAAUAGAUUCAGUAUCCCAUUUUCACUUGAACUUCUUAAUCAUAAACAUUUGUAUCAAACUUGGCGCCUCUAGUUCUUGUAGGCAGCCCCACCACGCACCACCGUCCGUAUCCUAAAAUCGUUCACCAUCAUUUGAGGCUAUUUAAUAUGUCAUGAUUCUCAGUGGGUCUCAAAGCAAUUCUAUUAGUAGUCAUUGAAAUUUUAAAAAAUUGUAUUUUUUUUCUUAAGUUUUUAGAAACUUCAAGGAUUU
RNAcentral lists this long non-coding RNA (396 nucleotides) under Citrus x clementina. RNAcentral describes it as "Citrus clementina (C. clementina) long non-coding RNA (CCLE_LNC001908)". The record is from RNAcentral. Lineage: Eukaryota; Viridiplantae; Streptophyta; Magnoliopsida; Sapindales; Rutaceae.